GGAAGUAAAAGUCGUGACAAGGUUUCCGUAGGUGAACCUGCGGAAGGAUCAUUCAUAAUAAAGUGUUUUAUGGCACUUUUUAAAAAUCCAUAUCCACCUUGUGUGCAAUGUUAGAUCUCGUCAAUCUUGGCGAGAUUUUUAUACAUCAACUCAUUUUUUAACUAAUUUGUCUGAAAAAUAUUAUGAAUACUUAAUUCAAAAUACAACUUUCAACAACGGAUCUCUUGGCUCUC
Molecule: unclassified non-coding RNA, 233 nt
Filed under: plant metagenome
Description: partial contains small subunit ribosomal RNA, internal transcribed spacer 1, and 5.8S ribosomal RNA
Rfam family: Eukaryotic small subunit ribosomal RNA (bases 1-54)
Source: RNAcentral